CUGCUCUCCAGUCAUCAACAUCGCUCCUUGGUGGUCCACAUUUUCUGGAAUACUCUUUACUGCAAAAGCUAGGCUUGCUGUACAGGUCUGAAGAUGUGCCUUUCCCAGCUGAUAAACAGGGAUCCUCAGGGAAAGCAGAGAGUUGGAGUUGAGAGAAGCAGAGGGAGGAUUAGUCCCAGAGGAUGCCACGAUCAGCUGAGUUCUCAGUUUGAAGUUCUGGAACUGGAGGGCUGUAUUCCCUGGUGGACUAGAAAUAACUGCAGCAGCUGGAAACAAAGAGGAGAAGCUGGAACCACAAGACCAUCAGAUCUGCAUCGCCUGUGUUUAACAUCUGUGAGCUCAGAAAUGGAGGGAAGAAAGAGAUUCUCAGAUUCUCACAGCUAAAAAUCUGCCGCAAGACAAAUGAGGGGCUGCGGUAGGACUGCUUGGAUGAAGUUGCCCUUUUCUGCGUACAACUGCAUCCUACCUGCCUGUGCAGAGGUAUCCCCAUGGCACCAGAUAAAUAAAAAACUUCUCGCCUGCCUCGCCAUUCCCCGCAGCCAGCCGGUGAGCCAGGGCCAGCGGAGUAUUAUUAAAACUGCUCCAUCACUGGCUGUAAUGGGAGCGUCUGUAUUUUCUCCCUCGCCCGUAUCCCUGACAUGACAUAAUGCCUGCCCUCACCAAGACGCUAUAACACCGAGGUGUCCCACUCGUCUGCUGAAUAACCUCAGUAACUUCUGGCCUCGCCAGCUCUGCCAGUGCCCCCUCUUGCCUUGCAGCCCCCCCCGGCUCCUCCAGCCCGGGGGUCCUCACACCAGCCCCUCACUACCGUCCUGUGCAGUGUUGAUCUGCUGGCUCUUGGUUAGAUGGAGGUAUUGGGCUGGAGAA
Molecule: long non-coding RNA, 867 nt
Organism: Aquila chrysaetos chrysaetos
Lineage: Eukaryota; Metazoa; Chordata; Aves; Accipitriformes; Accipitridae
Exons: 7
Source: RefSeq, a predicted model, not a curated record